Long non-coding RNA from Anguilla rostrata (American eel), 1665 nucleotides. RefSeq lists it as uncharacterized. Lineage: Eukaryota; Metazoa; Chordata; Actinopteri; Anguilliformes; Anguillidae. The transcript has 2 exons. The record is from RefSeq and is a predicted model, not a curated record.
ACGGGGCAGGGGCGGGGUGGGAGAGGCACCUGGUCCUCUCUCAGGAGCUCAACCGCAGUCAGACCGUGUCCCGACGGCGCUAUAAAAACAACCCAGCGGUCACCGCGCUGGCCAUCUCCAGGGACCACAGUAGUCUGUUUGUGGGAGACGCUUGGGGCAGGGUGUUCAGCUGGACCUGUGAGGCGUAGAAACGGAGGACUAUGCGCCCUAUCGAAAAUGCUGUACACACCCUACCGAAAAUCCCCACAUACUCUACACACCCUACUGAAAAUCCCAAAUGCUCUGCGCAGUCUACUGAAAAUCCCAAAUGCUCUGCGCACUCUACUGAAAAUCCCAAAUGCUGUACACACCCUACUGACAAUCCCAAAUACUCUGCAAACCCUACUGAAAAUCCCAAAAUGCUCUGUGCACUCUACUGAAAAUCCAAAAUGCUGUACACACCCUACUGAAAAUCCCCAAAACGCACCUUUUAUCACUUCUCUCAAAGCCUGUGUGAAGGGCUGCUGUGGAGUAUACACCACAGGGGAAGCUGUUUGGUUGGAUGUGCAGGUGCAGACCCAGGUGUUAGUAGCCCUGCUCGGGAAUGACCGUUUUACAGGGAAAGCGAUUGGUUGGACGCAGAUGUGGCGAGUAUUUCUGAAUGCACCGUUUAAGGAUUCUGUUUUUUGCGAGAGGUCAGGAUGUUCAUCAAAACACCUUCCCUGGGUUACUCCUCAGUUUUUUUAAAAAGCUUCAAUUCAAUUAAAGUCAGUUCAGUUAAAUUCGGUUCAGUUCAGUUACAUUCAGUUCAGUUAAAUUCGGUUCAGUUCAGUUACAUUCAGUUCAUUUCAGUUAAAUUCAGUUCAUUUCAGUUAAAUUCAGUUCAGUUAAAUUCAGUUAAAUUCAGUUCAGUUCAGGUCUCAUUUGCAUCCUCAUGCCGAGCGAUGAUGGUAAGAAUGUUACACAGGAAAAAGGCUCAAAAGCUUUGUGUGGGCGUGGAGCGGGGGCAGGGCAUUUAAACCUCAUCAGACACCUUCUGUGAAACUGGCAAAAGGAAAGCAAGUAUUAUUUUAGAAAUGAAAGACGCGGCGCUUCUGCUGUGGCCUGACGCUCUCUGCACAGUAGACUCCGGUCUGAAGGUUUCCGGAGAGCUCCGAGCCCACAGCCCCCUUUAUUUUACAAACUCUCCUGGCUGCCACUGCAAUCCCGCCAUCUUGCUACCAUUUAUUAUUUUGACUGUGAAGUUUGUCGGUUAUUCCCCCCCCCGUCCCGUCCCGUCCCGUCUCCUGGUAAUUCACCCCCUCACCUAAAAAGGAACGGGGUCAUAGCCGUGUACCACGGGCAGCAGGUUUCUGCUCUGUGUUCUUUCACUGAUUUUAAAAUGACGUGAUUUUACUGAAAAUGAAAUGUACGACUUCUGCUGAUAAUGAAUACUUGACUAAUGACGUUGCUGCAUGUUUUUAUGUUUUCCUAGAGAUGUACCAGCUGUUACAACAUUGAUGUUAAUACAGAGUAUUUUGUGCUAGUGUGGCAGGUUUUUUGUAUGUGUGUGGAUGUGUAUUGGUGUGUGUGUCUGUGCACACGUGUGUGUGUGUGUGUGUGUGUGCGUGCGCGGGCGCUUGUAUAUAAUCUUGUCAUACCUGCUCUUUUAUUGAAUGUUCUGUAAAUAAAUUAAUUCACUCUGUU